GAAUCAAACUGAUUUAUAUGUAUACUCAGGAUACUGACAGGAAAACUUGUGUCAUGUAAUGUUUUAAUCAAGGAGCUCCAUAAACAAAACUGAGGAUGAUUGAAGGAGGAACUGUUGGCGAGAGUUUAAAACCAUUGUUUCACAAAGAAUUUCCAGUCACUCUGAGGCCCAAAUGAAGAAGGAGGAGAAGAAAGGUGCAUUCAAAUAUAUGCAGUUUUUCUAGGCAAAAAUCCCAUCAACAGAGGUCACAGAAUUUGGUUUCCAGGGUUUAAAUGGACGCUUUCAAAUGAUGCUCAUGUUUUAAAGCCUUCAUCUUUCUUACUGCCUAGCAAAGGUGGUAGAAGUUGCAGAAAACAGAUGCGUUCACCCAAAAACAGUAGUGUGGAAUGAGAUGGAGAAAGCCCACAGGCAGGGAGGAAGGCAAAGUCGGUAAAAUGGGCGAGAACUUGUCCAUGGUAAACUCCAAAAUGGGAGGAGAGGCCCCAUCUUCCUAAGGGCCCUAAAAGAACACCAAAUGUUUUGACAGUAAUUGUUGAGACUCCUGAAACUGAAGCACUCUACUUCUGGGGUGGAAUUCACCUUUACUAAAUUGAGUGCUAAUAUUUUGAAAUACUGAACUUCGUCUCUUGCCCAGACUUGUGGUCCUUCAGUAGUUAGGGAGCAUGGUGAAACUACUAUUGAGACUCGAUUAACGCUUUUUGCAUUAUGAUAGAAUUUUGCAUUAUGACUUCUUUCUAAAAAGUUGUUGGAUUAAAAGAU
RNAcentral lists this long non-coding RNA (759 nucleotides) under Anser brachyrhynchus (Pink-footed goose). Its description in RNAcentral is "lncRNA (ENSABRG00000009099.1)". The record is from RNAcentral. Lineage: Eukaryota; Metazoa; Chordata; Aves; Anseriformes; Anatidae.